GCUUCAGUGGCUUGGGAGCCUUCGCAUCCGGCUGUCGGUCGGUCAUGUUGCUGGAAACUAACGAUUUUUGGCUGUCACUCAAAUGUAUUUGUUGCAGAGGCCUACCAAGCCGACUGCUUUCUUAGUGGGUGGACUUUCUCAAAUAUUUGCCGGCCUCAGCGCAAAUUGGACAUAUCGACCGGUGUGGCUCAGUGCAGACUGGCGUGAAUUAUGGAACCCGGGCAGAUCGAGCUGAUGGAGAUUUCAUUUGCAACCGGCCACCAAUGAACCGGUUUUCGUGGAGAGAGAGCUCCAGUCGGUGGCAGCGUGAAAAGUUGGAGCUCGAAGAAAUAGAAGCCGGCGGGGUUGGGGGCAUUAGCACUCGGGGGCCACUUGAAUCCACCGCCAAAAUGGCAUUUGAAAAUAGAAAUAGAAAUAGGAGUACGGCCUCCAUGCGCCGCUGCAGUUUGUCAGCCCAAAAGGCCAAGAGACUGGGACUAAGACGCUAAACUUUUACUCUUUAAGUAGGUAAAUGAAGUUGGCUGCCUGGUUAAUUGAAGGAAGGUGCGCCCGGGGACCCGGCCCGAUGAUGCUGGGAUCUAGCUGGCAGAUUAAGCCAUUGUCUGCCCGCAGAUAAACGAACGAGCCCCAGUUACCCAUUAAGAUGGCUUAAUUAAGGAAGCAUUGCCAUUGCCUCAGUGAAAGUUGAACCGGCGACGGAGAGAGAGAGACGAAGGUCUGAGAUUUCUGGUCGGAGAUUCCGGCCAAAGUUCCCACGGCAACGACAACCUGUCUGGCGGAGGCACUUUGCGCAAUCGUCAGUGGCUGGCAAAAUUGCAAAAUGUCACAACAAUUGCAAAUAAAUUAUAUAUGCAAAUUGGAUGGCCAAUGCAUGGAAUAACCACUGACAAAACGUAGCGUUAUAAUACGAUCGCCACAUGCUAAAUCUGGCAAUGCACAAAGCACCCACUUGGGAGCUUACCAAUGCCAUUGUCUGCACUCAUGAUCUUUGAAUGUUGUCCUGCUCAUUUCAACGGCCGUUUGCGAUUAACAUAUUUACACUUAUAUAGAAUAUAUCUUUCUGUACCGUGAGACAAAA
Long non-coding RNA from Drosophila yakuba, 1078 nucleotides. RefSeq lists it as uncharacterized. The record is from RefSeq and is a predicted model, not a curated record. The transcript has 2 exons. Lineage: Eukaryota; Metazoa; Arthropoda; Insecta; Diptera; Drosophilidae.